UAAUGCUUGGGAAUCUAGCUUAUGGAGGGGGAUAACUACGGGAAACUGUAGCUAAUACCGCGUGGUAUCGGAAGAUGAAAGUGUGGGACCUUCGGGCCACAUGCCAUAGGAUGAGCCCAAGUGGGAUUAGGUAGUUGGUGAGGUAAAGGCUCACCAAGCCGACGAUCUCUAGCUGGUCUGAGAGGAUGACCAGCCACACUGGGACUGAGACACGGCCCAG
This 220-nucleotide ribosomal RNA is filed under the name uncultured bacterium. RNAcentral describes it as "partial 16S ribosomal RNA". It matches the Rfam family "Bacterial small subunit ribosomal RNA", at positions 111 to 334 of the family's 1533-position model. The record is from RNAcentral.